Molecule: non-coding RNA, 30 nt
Filed under: Homo sapiens (human)
Lineage: Eukaryota; Metazoa; Chordata; Mammalia; Primates; Hominidae
Source: RNAcentral
UGAUAGCAUGGUUUACCUCAGAUAUGCUGU